GGGAAAUCUUACCGGGUCCGGACACACUGAGGAUUGACAGGUAAUAUUAUUUAAAUAUUUUAAAUUUCAAUUUUUUCUCGGAAAUUUUGGAAUGGACUUUAUUUUUAUAUGUAAAUAUGCUAGUCCUUUCAUGAUUAUGUGAUAGGUGGUGCAUGGCCGUUCUUAGUUCGUGGAGUGAUCUGUCUGCUUAAUUGCGUUUCACUAAGAGCUUAUCAAUUUACGUAUGUCUCGCUAGCGUAUUUUGACCCCCAUUUCUUUUUUAACUUUAUAAAGUUUUUUUUGAAUAUUCGUUUCUUUGAAACAAUGUUCUUAAAAUUCUUUUUGUUAUUAAAGAAUUGUGCGCGUGUCAUUUAUGUAUCAAGCAGCAUACAAUUAAGCUCUGAAAGCAACGA
RNAcentral lists this ribosomal RNA (392 nucleotides) under Allogromiina sp. 1055. RNAcentral's name for it is "partial 18S ribosomal RNA". It matches the Rfam family "Eukaryotic small subunit ribosomal RNA", at positions 1207 to 1453 of the family's 1831-position model. The record is from RNAcentral. Lineage: Eukaryota; Foraminifera; Allogromiidae.